AGUCGUAACAAGGUUUCCGUAGGUGAACCUGAGGAAGGAUCAUUAUAAAAAAGUUGGGCUUGGGUUUAACCAAAGACCUGCCCCCAAAAGGGACCUUUUGUGCACUGUAAAAUUUUUUCACUUAAACUUUGUCUGAUUGAUAUUUGUACCAAAAGGGACAAGAAUUCUUUUAACAAUGGAUCUCUUGGCUCUC
This 193-nucleotide unclassified non-coding RNA is filed under the name Olpidium brassicae. RNAcentral describes it as "partial internal transcribed spacer region". The stretch from base 1 to 45 matches the Rfam family "Eukaryotic small subunit ribosomal RNA", at positions 1787 to 1831 of the family's 1831-position model. The record is from RNAcentral. Lineage: Eukaryota; Fungi; Olpidiomycota; Olpidiomycetes; Olpidiales; Olpidiaceae.